Molecule: ribosomal RNA, 633 nt
Filed under: Cortinarius subarquatus
Lineage: Eukaryota; Fungi; Basidiomycota; Agaricomycetes; Agaricales; Cortinariaceae
Description: eukaryotic LSU rRNA
Rfam family: Eukaryotic large subunit ribosomal RNA
Source: RNAcentral
GACCUCAAAUCAGGUAGGACUACCCGCUGAACUUAAGCAUAUCAAUAAGCGGAGGAAAAGAAACUAACAAGGAUUCCCCUAGUAACUGCGAGUGAAGCGGGAAAAGCUCAAAUUUAAAAUCUGACAGUCUUUGGCUGUCCGAGUUGUAAUCUAGAGAAGCAUUAUCCGCGCUGGACCGUGUACAAGUCUCCUGGAAUGGAGCGUCAUAGAGGGUGAGAAUCCCGUCUUUGACACGGACUGCCAGGGCUUUGUGAUGUGCUCUCAAAGAGUCGAGUUGUUUGGGAAUGCAGCUCAAAAUGGGUGGUAAAUUCCAUCUAAAGCUAAAUAUUGGCGAGAGACCGAUAGCGAACAAGUACCGUGAGGGAAAGAUGAAAAGAACUUUGGAAAGAGAGUUAAACAGUACGUGAAAUUGCUGAAAGGGAAACGCUUGAAGUCAGUCGCGUUGUCCAGGGAUCAAUCUUGCUUUUGCUUGAUGUACUUUCUGGUUAACGGGUCAGCAUCAAUUUUGACUAUUGGAAAAAGAUUGAGGGAAUGUGGCAUCUUCGGAUGUGUUAUAGCCCUUGGUUGCAUACAAUAGUUGGGAUUGAGGAACUCAGCACGCCGCAAGGCCGAGUUUGCACGUACGUGCUAGAU